RNAcentral lists this ribosomal RNA (376 nucleotides) under uncultured bacterium. RNAcentral's name for it is "bacterial SSU rRNA". It matches the Rfam family "Bacterial small subunit ribosomal RNA", at positions 524 to 898 of the family's 1533-position model. The record is from RNAcentral.
UACGAAGGGUGCAAGCGUUGUUCGGAAUAACUGGGCGUAAAGAGCGCGUAGGCGGGUAUGUAAGUUAUCUGUGAAAGCCCCGGGCUUAACCUGGGAAUUGCAGGUAAAACUGCAUAUCUUGAAUACUGCAGGGGAUGGUGGAAUUGCUGGUGGAGAAGUGAAAUUUAUAGAGAUCAGCAGGAACACCUGAGGCGAAGGCGGCCAUCUGGGCAUGUAUUGACGCUGUGGCGCGAAAGCGUGGGUAGCAAACAGGAUUAGAUACCCUGGUAGUCCACGCCGUAAACGAUGGAUACUAGGUGUUCGGAGUAUUAACCCUCUGAGUACCGAAGUUCACGCAUUAAGUAUCCCGCCUGGGGAGUACGGUCGCAAGGCUAAA